UUUCUCGAAAGUAAAAGAUCUAAAUUGGUUUGUUAGUUUUUGUGUCAAAAAGAUUAAAUAAGCUUUUUUAGGUGUGAUAUGCUAAUCGUUUUUACUAAUAUCUAGUAACUUUAGAAAAAAAUUUAGUUUGGGUUAUGAAGGGUUUUUUUUCUUUUUUAUAAACUUAUAUCUCAGGGGAUGAGCUCUGGGGUAAAUUUAAAAGAAAAAAAGGUUUUAUAUUUUUGGUAGGCUUAGAAUUUGCCAUGAGAUAGUGUUAUAAAAUAAAACAAUAAGGUUAAGAUUUAAUUUUCUUUGAGAUUUAUAAAGUUAAUGUAGUAAUAAAAAAAUAGUUGAAAAUAUGAUAGUAUAAGUAGAAGAAAAUUUGAAUUCUUCAUGGAUUUUUAGAAACAAGAUUUUUAGCAAAAGAACUCGGCAAAUAAGAUUUCCGAAUGUUUAACAAAAACAUUUCCUCUCAAAAAAGGGAGGUAAGGCCUGCUCACUGAGUUUUGAAGAGCCGCAGUAUCCUGACUGUGCUAAGGUAGCAUAAUCAUUAGUCUUUUAAUUGGAGACUGGUAUGAAUGGCUAAACGAGAAAUCGACUUUUUUUGUUAUAAAAAUUGAAUUUAAUUUUUUAGUGAAAAAGCUAAAAUUUUUCAGAAAGACGAGAAGACCCUAUAGAGUUUUAUAUUUCUGUGAAUUUUUUUUUAAUGGAUUUUUUUGAAAAAAAUUUUUUGGAAAUAUUUUGUUGGGGCGACAUUUAGAUAAGUGAAACUCUUUAUUUUAAAAACUUUGUUGUAAGAAUAAAUUUGAUCCUUUAUAAGAGAUCAUAAGAAAAAAUUACCUUAGGGAUAACAGCGUAAUCUUUUUUGAGAGUUCUAAUCGACAAAAAGGUUUGCGACCU
Molecule: ribosomal RNA, 879 nt
Filed under: Tetraclita squamosa
Lineage: Eukaryota; Metazoa; Arthropoda; Thecostraca; Balanomorpha; Tetraclitidae
Description: partial 16S ribosomal RNA
Rfam family: Bacterial large subunit ribosomal RNA
Source: RNAcentral